ACGCUCGACACCUACGGGAGGCAGCAGUGGGGAAUAUUGCACAAUGGGGGAAACCCUGAUGCAGCGACGCCGCGUGAGCGAAGAAGUAUUUCGGUAUGUAAAGCUCUAUCAGCAGGGAAGAAAGUGACGGUACCUGACUAAGAAGCCCCGGCUAACUACGUGCCUGCAGCCGCGGUAAUCUGAGCGGGCUGGCAAGC
RNAcentral lists this ribosomal RNA (197 nucleotides) under uncultured bacterium. RNAcentral describes it as "partial 16S ribosomal RNA". It matches the Rfam family "Bacterial small subunit ribosomal RNA", at positions 328 to 539 of the family's 1533-position model. The record is from RNAcentral.